Molecule: unclassified non-coding RNA, 352 nt
Filed under: soil metagenome
Description: partial contains 5.8S ribosomal RNA, internal transcribed spacer 2, and large subunit ribosomal RNA
Rfam family: 5.8S ribosomal RNA (bases 1-120)
Source: RNAcentral
GAUGAAGAACGUAGCGAAAUGCGAUAAGUAAUGUGAAUUGCAGAAUUCAGUGAAUCAUCGAAUCUUUGAACGCACAUUGCGCCCGCCAGUAUUCUGGCGGGCAUGCCUGUUCGAGCGUCAUUACAACCCUCAGGCCCCCGGGCCUGGCGUUGGGGAUCGGCAGAAGCCCCCUGUGGGCACACGCCGUCCCUCAAAUACAGUGGCGGUCCCGUCGCAGCUUCCAUUGCGUAGUAGCUAACACCUCGCAACUGGAGAGCGGCGCGGCCAUGCCGUAAAACACCCAACUUCUGAAUGUUGACCUCGAAUCAGGUAGGAAUACCCGCUGAACUUAAGCAUAUCAAUAAGCGGAGGA